ACUCGAGCCACCGCUGUCCGUGAGGGACCCAGGAAAGGGGACGGAAGGAUCAACGUGCAGUGAGGCUGGGCUGGGAGCCUGACGACUGGACGCACAGGAGCCUCUUGGAAGGAAGUCGGUCGGAGAGUCCACCUGGUUCCUUCAUUUUGAAACAGGGCUCAAUAUGCUGAAUCCUGAAGACACAAGAUGCCAGGACCCAGGGCUAAUGGGACACAGAAGACAAAGGCUGCCCGAAUAAAUACCAUCACCAUUCAAAAAA
Herpailurus yagouaroundi (jaguarundi) is the source of this 259-nucleotide long non-coding RNA. RefSeq lists it as uncharacterized. The transcript has 2 exons. The record is from RefSeq and is a predicted model, not a curated record. Lineage: Eukaryota; Metazoa; Chordata; Mammalia; Carnivora; Felidae.